Amphiprion ocellaris (clown anemonefish) is the source of this 119-nucleotide ribosomal RNA. The record is from Ensembl. NCBI's taxonomy places the organism in Eukaryota, Metazoa, Chordata, Actinopteri, Pomacentridae.
GCUUACGGCCAUACCAGCCUGAAUACGCCCGAUCUCGUCUGAUCUCGGUAGGUAAGCAGGGUCGGGCCUGGUUAGUACUUGGAUGGGAGACCGCCUGGGAAUACCAGGUGCUGUAAGCU